RNAcentral lists this ribosomal RNA (253 nucleotides) under uncultured bacterium. Its description in RNAcentral is "partial 16S ribosomal RNA". It matches the Rfam family "Bacterial small subunit ribosomal RNA", at positions 524 to 776 of the family's 1533-position model. The record is from RNAcentral.
UACGGGGGGGGCAAGCGUUGUUCGGAAUUACUGGGCGUAAAGGGCUCGUAGGCGGCCAACUAAGUCAGACGUGAAAUCCCCAGGCUCAACCUGGGAACUGCGUCUGAUACUGGAUGGCUUGAAUCCGGGAGAGGGAUGCAGAAUUCCAGGUGUAGCGGUGAAAUGCGUAGAUAUCUGGAGGAAUACCGGUGGCGAAGGCGGCAUCCUGGACUGGCAUUGACGCUGAGGAGCGAAAGCCAGGGGAGCAAACGGG